CUGCACAACUUUCUUUUACCGCAACACCGGCAACAUCUACGAACAAGAUAAAAACAACUUAGUGAGACAUUUUACAAGCCUUACUAUAAGGCAUAAUAAAGGCUCAUACAUACUUAGAACAAGUUAUAAAGCAUACAUUAAGUAACAUACUACCAAAACUUAAAAUCCAUGUAAAGAGAUAUUGAUCCAAAGACCAAAAUAGUCGAAUACUCACAAAUGAGAAGAAUAAAAGAAAAAUACAUAUUUUCCACUUUCUUCCGUCAGUGAAGUGAACUCCACACAUAGAUUGUCAUGUGAGAAAACUGAUGUGUGUUUGGUAGGACACAGAAAAACCUACAGAGGAGGAUAUGGAGACUCACGAGUGAUGUUGUGACAGAUCACUAGUGACGCUGAAGAAAAUGACCUUAUUUUCAUUGACCACUAAGGGGCGGUCCAUGUGGUCCACCCUACAUUAAACUUACUGAAAAUAUAGGUAACUACAGCACAGCUAUUUCAAAUAUGAGAACUCUUGUGAUUAAUUGAUCAAAUAAACUUGUUGACUUUUCAAAGAGUUACUUUAUACUAUACACACACAAAUAAACACAACCAAAACUAGAUACGCAGUAGCUUAACAGCAACAUCACCCUAACAUCUGCUAGGCAGGACACUAGAGAUACGGGCCAUAAACUUAUAUUUCUCCCUUAAGGUGACCUGACCUCAACCCCCCUCCAUCAGUUAUCCACGGCUCUCUCCCUUCAUCAAUACCUGACACAUGUAUUUCACUUCCCUGCACUCAACACAUUCCAAGCUCAGUUGCACAGUCUAUAUACCUUCCUCCUAUAACCAUUAACUUCUGGUGUAGACCCUCUAAACCUCAGCACUCCAUCACUGACAUGAAUAAGUAUAUUUUCAUAUUCUCAGAAUCCAACACAACACACUCGUUGACAUGAUCAACUGAGUUCAGUUACUGAUGUAUUGUGUUUAUUUGAAUUUGGAUAAUUUGAUGGAUAGUUUCUUGUUUGAGAUUAAUUCACCCCACGUCUUUUAUAGUUUUGUAAUGGAGGUGACUAAUGCUUCUCCAAAUGAGGAAGUGGCAGAUACCUUGAUCCAUGUCUGUUUAGUUAACAUAAUACAUAUUUCCAGUCAGAGUAACCAGUCUGUGCCAACUAAGUCAUGGCUUGGAUUGCAUCCAUAGAUCACAUUACUUUUAUGGAUUUUUGUCAAACUUCGUUUUUUAGAUGCAAAUCUAAGCAUUGAAGAAAUGCAAAACAGGAAUAAAAAUAUAUUUUAGUUGUUUUUUAUUUCAUCACCAAUAAAUUGUUUCAUGUUUUUUGGUAAAUCACAGGAGGAAAGGUAAUGGAUUGUUCCUCAAAUAAUUAAGAUUUCUGUGAUAGUACUGGAUAACAUUGACAUCAACUCCUUGUAGGACGCACCAGUUUCUUUUAAAAGGUUGGACAUUUUUUUAAUGUGAAUCUUGCAAUAUAUACAGAAAUUAUACAAUUGACAUGUUAUUUAUUUAAAUUGUAGUAUGAUAGAUCUUGUUCUCAUCCAUCUGGGUUUGAGGGCUAGGGACAGUGUUAGAGGACCAGUUGCAGCACAAUGGCUUAUUGUAGCACAUCUCAGCUUAGAUCAUGACCACAAAUCCAUUACUGUGUCUUUCCACACCUCUUCAUGUUCUCUGACAAGUCAUUUCUGUUGAUGGAUAUAGACAUGAGCUUCAUACAGUAUGAAGAUGUGAAUAGCAAGCCGUAUGCUGGGUUGUUUGCAGGGGUGAUGUUGGUGCUUCUCCUCAUCUCUAGAAAUAGAAGUGUACCUGUAUGAUCAGUACCCUCACUGUGGUCACAUCUACGUUACAAACAGACUCGACACACUCUGCUAAAUCUCAGGUACAACAGUGAACAUCAUGAGUCAUCGGACCGUUGAAUGUAAAUAUAAUAUAUAAACUCAUUACACAUGAAACACUUUGCAUAAUAUAAAAUACAUUAACAAGCAGUGGGGAGUAAAGAGCAUUGUUCUACACACACAUAUUGCAGCUUAGAUGGGUUUUGGUCAAGACAUGACAAUUCACCAGUACAUUCAAACAGAUAAUAUAGAA
Long non-coding RNA from Oncorhynchus tshawytscha (Chinook salmon), 2074 nucleotides. NCBI's taxonomy places the organism in Eukaryota, Metazoa, Chordata, Actinopteri, Salmoniformes, Salmonidae. The record is from Ensembl.